RNAcentral lists this non-coding RNA (24 nucleotides) under Cricetulus griseus (Chinese hamster). Lineage: Eukaryota; Metazoa; Chordata; Mammalia; Rodentia; Cricetidae. The record is from RNAcentral.
GUGGACAUCUUUGUUUUUUUCCAG